CCUACGGGAGGCAGCAGUGAGGAAUAUUGGUCAAUGGACGCGAGCCUGAACCAGCCAAGUAGCGUGAAGGAUGACUGCCCUACGGGUUGUAAACUUCUUUUAUUAAGGAAUAAAGUGAGGCACGUGUGCCUUUUUGUAUGUACUUUAUGAAUAAGGGUCGGCUAUAUCCGUGCCAGCAGCCUCGGGAAUACGGAGGAUCCGAGCGUUAUCCGGAUUUAUUGGGUUUAAAGGGAGCGUAGAUGGGUUGUUAAGUCAGUUGUGAAAGUUUGCGGCUCAACCGUAAAAUUGCAAUUGAUACUGGCAGCCUUGAGUACAGUUGAGGUAGGCGGAAUUCGUGGUGUAGCGGUGAAAUGCUUAGAUAUCACGAAGAACUCCGAUUGCGAAGGCAGCUGACUAAGCUGCCACUGACAUUGAUGCUCGAAAGUGUGGGUAUCAAACAGGAUUAGAUACCCUUGUAGUC
This 460-nucleotide ribosomal RNA is filed under the name uncultured bacterium. Its description in RNAcentral is "partial 16S ribosomal RNA". It matches the Rfam family "Bacterial small subunit ribosomal RNA", at positions 338 to 795 of the family's 1533-position model. The record is from RNAcentral.